RNAcentral lists this ribosomal RNA (253 nucleotides) under uncultured bacterium. RNAcentral describes it as "partial 16S ribosomal RNA". It matches the Rfam family "Bacterial small subunit ribosomal RNA", at positions 524 to 776 of the family's 1533-position model. The record is from RNAcentral.
UACGAGGGGUGCAAACGUUAUUCGGAUUGAUUGGGCGUAAAGGGUGCGUAGGCGGCAUGCUAAGUCAACUGUUAAAUUUCCCGGCCUAACUGGGAUAGUGCGGUAGAUACUGGUGUGCUUGAGGAUGGAAGAGAGAAGUGGAAUUCUCGGAGUAGCGGUAAAAUGCGUAGAUCUCGAGAGGAACACCAAUGGCGAAGGCAGCUUCUUGGUCCAUUUCUGACGCUGAGGCACGAAAGCGCGGGGAGCAAACAGG